Paramisgurnus dabryanus is the source of this 1133-nucleotide non-coding RNA. The record is from RefSeq and is a predicted model, not a curated record. NCBI's taxonomy places the organism in Eukaryota, Metazoa, Chordata, Actinopteri, Cypriniformes, Cobitidae.
GACUUUAAAAUCUGGUUUAAGAGCAAAAAAACUACCUGUGCCAAUCAGUUUUUGCCAUUUAUGGGCUUUACCCUAUAAAAGAAAACCAUUUUAUGCAUUUAAAUGACCUUACACGUUAUCAGUUUAUUAAGCGUUUAGACUAUGUAGACACACUCACUGUGCACUAAAAUUAAAAAAAAUUGGUUAACACGACCACUCGUGGUGGCUUCACUCAGAGGUUGGAGAAGACAACCGGUGGACUAAACAUCAAGCCUCUGCACGAUUCAGAAUUAAGACAACCUUAGCAGGAGAGCCCCAGCAGUAACUUUCUCUCAAGCAGAUGAGCAAUAAGUUGCUUUGUAUGAACACCACCCUAACAAUCAAGUAGCCUGUUAACAGUAGACCAAAGGUAUGAUGAUCAAUUAUAAAUGCAAUAUGGUUGAAAGCUUGACAAAAAUGUAGCUUGAAGGAGAAGGGACAGCUGAGUAACAAAGUCCUGGUAUGCAGACGACGAUACUAUUACACUGACAAGAGUGUAAUGAUGAUGGAGACACAAGCCAGAGAAAGGGGGGACCAAACACCAGGCCAGAAUUCUGCAUGAGUCAGAUCCAGUGGGUGCAGAUCAUCAUACAGAUGGUUCAAGUGUGGAUCCACCUAAUAUUCAAGAUUUUCUGUCCUGGGACACUCGGCUAACCAUCAAGAAAGAACACACUCCAGUGGGCAUCCUUUAUCCAUCCAGACCCUCAUACAGAUGGUUGGAGUUUUGAUUCACCUAAAGUACCAUGCAAGAGCACUCAUUUUCCCUCUUGAGACCAUGGUGUGACCUGCAAGGUCGAAUGGAGACUGUAAGCGAGACAAUCUUGGAGUCACCUGCAUUCACUGGUCCAGUUGUUAGUCCAAUUACAGAUGGAGAUUAUAGAAGAGGAUGAUGUCUUUUCUCCAACAUCUUUCUAGACUGAUAAAAGAUCUAGACAGGCUUGAACAAAAGUUAACAGAGGGGCUUAUAUAGAGAAUGGUGAGCAGCUACACAUAAAAGAAGAACAUGGAGAAUCUGCCCAGAGGUGUUAACCAGCAAUGCAGCUAUACAACUAAAGUGAUGCAGGCGGAAACAAUGUGUGUAUGUUAUGUCCAAAUGUUGUUAUGUUCAAAUGUUU